Molecule: transfer RNA, 85 nt
Filed under: Pseudomaricurvus sp.
Lineage: Bacteria; Pseudomonadati; Pseudomonadota; Gammaproteobacteria; Cellvibrionales; Cellvibrionaceae
Also listed under: 1 other name
Description: tRNA-Leu
Rfam family: tRNA
About the family: Transfer RNA (tRNA) molecules are approximately 80 nucleotides in length.
Source: RNAcentral
GCGGACGUGGCGGAAUUGGUAGACGCGCCAGGUUUAGGUUCUGGUAUCGCAAGAUGUGAGAGUUCAAGUCUCUCCGUCCGCACCA